UAGGGAAUCUUCGGCAAUGGACGGAAGUCUGACCGAGCAACGCCGCGUGAGUGAAGAAGGUUUUCGGAUCGUAAAGCUCUGUUGUUAGAGAAGAACGUUGGUAGGAGAGGAAAAUCUACCAAGUGACGGUAACUAACCAGAAAGGGACGGCUAACUACGUGCCAGCAGCCGCGGCAAUACGUAGGUCCCGAGCGUUGUCCGGAUGUAUUGGGCGUAAAGCGAGCGCAGGCGGUUCUUUAAGUCUGAAGUUAAAGGCAGCGGCUUAACCAUUGUACGCUUUGGAAACUGGAGGACUUGAGUGCAGAAGGGGAGAGUGGAAUUCCAGGUGUAGCGGUGAAAUGCGUAGAUAUAUGGAGGAACACCGGUGGCGAAAGCGGCUCUCUGGUCUGUAACUGACGCUGAGGCUCGAAAGCGUGGGGAGCAAACAGG
This 429-nucleotide ribosomal RNA is filed under the name Bacillota bacterium. RNAcentral's name for it is "Firmicutes bacterium partial 16S ribosomal RNA". It matches the Rfam family "Bacterial small subunit ribosomal RNA", at positions 355 to 776 of the family's 1533-position model. Lineage: Bacteria; Bacillati; Bacillota. The record is from RNAcentral.